GACGAACGCUGGCGGCGUGCCUAAUACAUGCAAGUCGAGCGGACGAAUCGAAAGCUUGCUUUUGAUUCGUUAGCGGCGGACGGGUGAGUAACACGUGGGCAACCUGCCCUGUAGACGGGGAUAACACCGAGAAAUCGGUGCUAAUACCGGAUAACACGAAAUGUCGCAUGACGUUUAGUUGAAAGAUGGCGCAAGCUGCCGCUACAGGUUGGGCCCGCGGGGCAUUAGCUAGUUGGUGAGGUAACGGCUCACCAAGGCGACGAUACGUAGCCGACCUGAGAGGGUGAUCGGCCACACUGGGACUGAGACACGGCCCAGACUCCUACGGGAGGCAGCAGUAGGGAAUCUUCCGCAAUGGACGAAAGUCUGACGGAGCAACGCCGCGUGAGCGAAGAAGGCCUUCGGGUCGUAAAGCUCUGUUGUUAGGGAAGAACAAGUAACGCAGUAACUGGCGUUACCGUGACGGUACCUAACGAGAAAGCCACGGCUAACUACGUG
RNAcentral lists this ribosomal RNA (498 nucleotides) under uncultured bacterium. RNAcentral describes it as "partial 16S ribosomal RNA". It matches the Rfam family "Bacterial small subunit ribosomal RNA", at positions 28 to 507 of the family's 1533-position model. The record is from RNAcentral.